RNAcentral lists this long non-coding RNA (740 nucleotides) under Homo sapiens (human). Its description in RNAcentral is "HSALNT0063539". The record is from RNAcentral. Lineage: Eukaryota; Metazoa; Chordata; Mammalia; Primates; Hominidae.
GUUGAGGAUUUUCUCUCACCCCUUCAGCACUGAGUUGAAAUGAGGAAGACUUUGGGAGAAGACAGAAACUGGAAGUUCCUUCUCAAUUGGACUUUACUGAGCUAGCAGGAAACAAUAUGAUUGAAAAUGAAAAUAUCUUUUGCUUCACUUCUUAUACAGCACUGAACUUGGCAGGAAAAUCAGUAGGAGUAAGUGGCGGAGGCAUGGGACUGGCAGAGAUACGGCAGCCCCUGUGGAGAGGCUGUCUACAGAUAACAUAACAAUAACAACAGGAUCUGCGGGGUUCCUGCAUGCGUGUUGGCUUCACUGGAGAAACUAAUCAAGUGGUGCAGUUUGGACACAGAGACUGACACACAGGAAGAAUACCAUGUGAAGACUGGAGUUUUGCAUAGAGAAGCCAAGGAGCUACCAGAAGCUAGGAGAAUGGCCUGGAACAGACCUUUCCUUAGUGCCUUCAGAGAGAGCAUGGCGCUGCCAACAUCUUGAUCUCAGACUUCCAGCAUCCUGAAUUGUGAGAUAAAUUUCUGCUGUUUAAACCAUAUAAUUUGUGAUACUUUGCUAUGGCAACUGUCACAGCUAUUAUAAGCACCUAACCCUUUUUUUAAUCUUUUAAGAAACUUUUUGCUUUCAUCUACUUUUUUUGUUCUGGUUAUUCCAUAUUUUACUUUAAGAUUUAGUCUUCUGUCAAUAAAGCAAUAAUUUCAGAUCAAUUUCAAUAAAAAAUUAAUAAUGUCCAAACA